AUACUUACUUGGCAGGGGAGACACCAUGAUCACGAAGGUGGUUUUCCCAGGGUGAGGCUCUUCCAUUGUACUCCGGAUGUGCUAACCCCUGCAAUUUCCCCAAAUGCGGGAAACUUGACUGCAUAAUUUGUGGUACCUAUAGUUAAGGGGCUGGGCUGUGGC
Small nuclear RNA from Anolis carolinensis (green anole), 162 nucleotides. Its record names the gene U1. It matches the Rfam family "U1 spliceosomal RNA". From Rfam's summary of the family: U1 is a small nuclear RNA (snRNA) component of the spliceosome (involved in pre-mRNA splicing). Its 5' end forms complementary base pairs with the 5' splice junction, thus defining the 5' donor site of an intron. There are significant differences in sequence and secondary structure between metazoan and yeast U1 snRNAs, the latter being much longer (568 nucleotides as compared to 164 nucleotides in human). Lineage: Eukaryota; Metazoa; Chordata; Lepidosauria; Squamata; Anolidae. The record is from Ensembl.